This 67-nucleotide transfer RNA is filed under the name Fasciola hepatica (liver fluke). Its description in RNAcentral is "tRNA-Tyr". The record is from RNAcentral. Lineage: Eukaryota; Metazoa; Platyhelminthes; Trematoda; Plagiorchiida; Fasciolidae.
ACUGGUUUAGUAUAAGUUUAGUGCGUGGGAUUGUAGCUUCUGAGGUAGCGUUUUGGUCUGGCCAGAG